GGCGACGUGCCCGAGCGGUCUAAGGGGGUUGAUUGCAAAUCAACUAUCCGUGGGUUCGAAUCCCACCGUCGCCU
This 74-nucleotide transfer RNA is filed under the name Pirellulaceae bacterium. RNAcentral's name for it is "tRNA-Cys". It matches the Rfam family "tRNA". Rfam says of the family: Transfer RNA (tRNA) molecules are approximately 80 nucleotides in length. Lineage: Bacteria; Pseudomonadati; Planctomycetota; Planctomycetia; Pirellulales; Pirellulaceae. The record is from RNAcentral.